Molecule: unclassified non-coding RNA, 413 nt
Filed under: soil metagenome
Description: partial contains 5.8S ribosomal RNA, internal transcribed spacer 2, and large subunit ribosomal RNA
Rfam family: 5.8S ribosomal RNA (bases 1-121)
Source: RNAcentral
GAUGAAGAACGCAGCGAAAUGCGAUAAGUAGUGUGAAUUGCAGAAGUACCGUGAAUCAUCGAAUCUUUGAACGCAAAUUGCACUCUCUGGUAUUCCGGGGAGUAUGCCUGUUUGAGGGUCGCUUAACAAACCAUCGAUUUCGUUGCUUUUUUUUUAAAAAAGUGAUGUUUAUCGGAUUUGAGCCGUCUUUUUUUUUUUAUAUUUAAGUGGCUUAAAAUUGAUUUUUUUUGGUACGAUCGAAGAGUAUUUUUAUGAUCAAUUUUUGGUUAAAGAAACGCACACGUACCGUUAUUUAUAUGAUGUAAUACGUUUGACUAUCGGAUUUAGUUCAUUCGUAUACGAUAUUUUUCAAUAUUUGACCUCAAAUCAGGUAAGAACACCCGCUGAACUUAAGCAUAUCAAUAAGCGGAGGA